Molecule: long non-coding RNA, 321 nt
Filed under: Homo sapiens (human)
Lineage: Eukaryota; Metazoa; Chordata; Mammalia; Primates; Hominidae
Description: non-protein coding lnc-SPHK1-1:1
Source: RNAcentral
CCCCGACUGAGCGCAGUCCGUGCACCGCCACUGCAUCCCGCUCCCAGUGCCUACGUCCGGCUGCUUUCGUUGCCACCAUGCCCAAGAGAAAGGCUGAAGGGGAUGCUAAGGGAGAUGAGGCCAAGGUGAAAGACGAACCACAGAGAAGAUCUGUGAGGCUGUCUGCUAAACCUGCUCCUCCCUCCAAAGCCAGAGCCCAGGCCUAAAAAGGCCACUGCAAAGAAGGGAGAGAAGGUACCCAAGGGAAAAAGGAAAAAGCUGACACUGGCGAGGAGGGGAAUGACUCUAUGGGAAGUGGAGAUGCCUGAACACACCAGGCAC